UCAAUAGUGCAUGGGCUUAACGCGUAUCAGUGAGGAUUCGUCCGAGAUCGUGUUUUUGCUAGUUGAAAACUAUCACAUGACCGCUUCAGUUGGUCUCCGGAUCGGCUGGGAAUCUUUGGAAAAAAAUAUGUCUG
RNAcentral lists this small nuclear RNA (134 nucleotides) under Dothideomycetidae sp. 11243. RNAcentral describes it as "fungal sp. No.11243 U4 spliceosomal RNA". It matches the Rfam family "U4 spliceosomal RNA". Rfam says of the family: U4 small nuclear RNA (U4 snRNA) is a component of the major U2-dependent spliceosome. The structure of U4 snRNA from yeast and human has been reported. U4 snRNA presents a k-turn RNA motif in the 5p-SL related to recognition of Snu13 protein. The record is from Rfam by way of RNAcentral. Lineage: Eukaryota; Fungi; Ascomycota; Dothideomycetes.